UACGAGGAAAGCAGAAGCAAUAUAUUUUGCACUUGCAAAAACAAAUAAUACUCAAAUUAAGUUAAAGGAAGAGCAGAAAGAAGAUAUUCGUCAAAUAGUAAAUGGAAGGGAUGUUAAAUCGUUGAUAUACCAACUUUUACCGUCCAUGUUCGACUGCAUUAAUUGGAGAAAAAGAAAUAUUUCUGCCGUGUUGCCAGAAACAAUUGUAAUCGUGAUUUCCCCAUUAAAUGCACUGGUGGGCGACCAAAUAGACAAGCUAAAAACUGACAUGGGUGUUAAGGCAGUUGUUUUACGCCAUGAUGAUCAUGAUCAAGAAAUGAAAGGUGGGUACUAUUAAAAAUACUUCAUUUUGCUAUUUUUGUAUAUAAUACAUAAUAUGUAUAGACGGUAAAUAGACCCCUUGCCUAAAAACCAACUGGUUGGAAAGUUUAUUGAAAAUAUAAUUAGCAUUAAGCAAUCACUAUUAAGUGUACUUGCCAUGUUAGGGUCUUGGGGAAAUGUUUCCCUUAUUUUUCUGUUAUCAGCAGCUGUAUCAAAAUGUAUGCAUUAUUAAAUAAAUUUAUUUGUCUUUUUAUAGCUUACAGUAUGUAUCAACAAAGUAUGGAUGUAAGGCC
This is a non-coding RNA of Paramuricea clavata, 614 nucleotides long. Lineage: Eukaryota; Metazoa; Cnidaria; Anthozoa; Malacalcyonacea; Plexauridae. The record is from the annotation of a GenBank genome assembly.